ACAGAGCCCCCGAUUCCCCUCAUCUCUCCCAGAUCGCCGCCACCUCUCCCUCCUCCGAUCCACCUCGCCGCCGCCGGCCCUUCCCUUCCCCUCCCCUCAUCCCACCGCGCAGCUCCGGCGGCUGCUGGAUCCAUCGCAUCCCCCACCCACCCAUCCCUCUUGCGUCCCAUCUCUAGCUCCCUUCACGCGCCUCCUCGCGAUGCCGUCCCAUUCGACUAGAUCCGCUGCUCACGGCCACCCCCCUGCCAAGGGUUUCGGGCGUCGGCUCCGGCGCCGGUGGCCAGGUCGUCCUCCUCUAGUACUCCUCUCUUCCGACGUGCAGGGAGGAACAGGCUACGUGUGAACUCCAUGGUGACGUUACUGACGGUGGUGUCAAUGGACGAGAUGUGCCUCGGCGUCGACGAGCAUGCACUGAGGCGGGAAGUGGAAAAGGAAUACAUCGUCAAGCAAACUCAAUGGUACGGUGCUCGAGGUGGAGGACGUGGCUAACAUGGCGCUGUACGUGGAGUCGGACGAGGCUAGGUAGCUCUCAAACUGCGCAAAGUCAAGAUUGAUGCUAUGGUACCAUUAAUGAUUCCAGCAGAAGAUAUUUGCAACCUGAAGUGUUACACAAGGUCAGCUUCAAGGCUAUGAAGCGAAAGAUCAGACAAAGGUUUUCGCCAUGUUUGUCCUUCAACUUAGUAACCAUUCAAAAGAUAUAUGGAUGAUUAUCUGGGUGUGUGGCAAGAAUACUGCAAUGAUGAUGACGGUGUUCUGGUUCAUGAUGAUGAUGAUGACGACGACAGACCCUUUUAGUUGUAGUUAAGUUGUAGGGAUGUUGUUCCUGUUGGAUAUGUUGGAUGAUGUUCCUGUUCCUUAGUUAAUUUUUUUGUUAAGUUGUAGGGAUGUUGAUGGAUGCUUUCGUUAAAGUUUUGAUGUCAAGAAAAUAUUUAGAUUGUGUAUCACAUUUGGAUGAAGUUCCUCAUGUAAUAUCCACUAUUGUAAUCCAACAGUUCUAUCCAAUA
This is a long non-coding RNA of Triticum aestivum (bread wheat), 1004 nucleotides long. RefSeq lists it as uncharacterized. The record is from RefSeq and is a predicted model, not a curated record. Lineage: Eukaryota; Viridiplantae; Streptophyta; Magnoliopsida; Poales; Poaceae. The transcript is spliced from 5 exons.